RNAcentral lists this long non-coding RNA (604 nucleotides) under Chinchilla lanigera (long-tailed chinchilla). RNAcentral describes it as "lncRNA (ENSCLAG00000022926.1)". The record is from RNAcentral. Lineage: Eukaryota; Metazoa; Chordata; Mammalia; Rodentia; Chinchillidae.
UGAUAACUGACAUCACGCCAACCGUGGUGCCAUACUGAGCAUUAUAGAGGACAGUGAUCUGGUAACAGAUAGUGUCUUAUGUGAUUUGUUGUUUGUGGGUGUACAAAUUUCAUUCUUUAAUAUCAUUAACCACUCUCUGAGAGCAGUCUCAGAAUCUUUCUUGAUAUCAGUAACCUCGAAAGGGUUGGACUAUGAAGCACAAAGAGAAGAAACACCUGGAGAAGAAGUGCUUACAACGGCCUGCAAAAAAGUCAAAAUGUACAAGAGGAAAGUUGGAUUUCCAAGAUGUUCUGCCAAGUAAGGCCAAGGUACUGGCCCCAACUCAAGAGCACCAAGUGACAGAUACUUCUUCCUCAUCCUCGGAGAACUUCCCCUGUGGAGGCAAAUUCCUGGAUACUUCUUCUUCAUCGUUGGAGGACUUCCCCUAUGGAGGCAAAUUCCUGGCUGCAGGUAUGGAGGCACUAUUGACCAAGGUCAGAAGGCAGGGUAGGGUCUAGGCACAUCCCAGAAUUGAGACAAAUGUUUCUGAACAUAAGCUGAUACAAGGCUGCUCAGUCAGGAAGAACGUGAAAAUAAUCCACAGUAGAAACAGCAAAUGUCAAAG